UCCCGGACCUCUACAGAAACCGAGCUCCGGCCGCUGCCGAGCUUCAAUCGACAGAUCCGCGCCCCCUGACAGGCCAUCAAAACGGCCACGACCCUACUCCACUUCCUGUGGCGGAUUUCGCACAGCUCCACUAUCCCCUGGCAGGCCACAAUAACGGCCACGAACCUGCUCCACCUCCUGCGACGGAUACCAUGCGAUUCUCCUAUCCGCUGGCAAGUCACGAC
This 224-nucleotide long non-coding RNA is filed under the name Elaeis guineensis (African oil palm). RNAcentral describes it as "long non-coding RNA (EGUI_LNC070929)". Lineage: Eukaryota; Viridiplantae; Streptophyta; Magnoliopsida; Arecales; Arecaceae. The record is from RNAcentral.